AUCCGUCAGAUUCUUUCAAGCGAAAGGCGUUUUGCCUAACAUUGCUAUUUGUGAAAAUAAUCAUGAAAUGAAAUUAUAUUUCGGAGACGAAAUUCAAUGGCGUUGCAACCUUUCAACUUGCCGCAGUAAAAGAAAUAUACGGAAAGGCACAUGGUUUGAAUCAUAGAGAUUGAGUUGCUUGAAGUGUUUAAGAUUCAUUUAUGGUUGGAGUGAAGAAUUUACUUCAGUUAAAUGGUGUGAAAAGCAGUUGGAAAUCAGUCACGGUACAGUUGUGGAUUGGAAUAACUACAUGCGAGAGGCUUUUACUUGAAUAAUUAUUUUGAAAUAGUAGAAGCUGGCAAAACCAAAAAGAUUGCAAAAACUGUAUUAAAUUUUAGGCAUUCAAAACCAUUUUUUGUUUCAUUUGAAACACCGUCAUGAAACCGCAUCGGAGGCUGUUCCCAACUUGGGCAAUAGUUCUACUAGUUCUUGGAUCAUCAUCGUUUUUGGGUCUAGCAAUCUUUCUGUAUUGCUGCUGGAAAAGUAGACGUAUGCAGACUUGCUUUUCACCUACAGCUGUAUGAAUGUGCACAGGAGUUUGCACUGUUUUGCAUAUCAUUUUUAAACUUUAGAUAAAAAGUUUGUAACAAGAAAUGAGCUGUGCAUAAUAUACAAAUGUUUAAUAUGACAUUAUGCAUUCGUAUAUUUUGGAGUAAUGCCAAAUAUACAUAUAUACUGUAUUUGAUGUAAAUUAUAUAUUUCAUUAAUUCAUAGUCUGAGUGAUAAAAUGUUUAGCAAACAUUGUCUACAUGCUGAUCAUCUAGGUUUUGAAUUAAUAUUAAAUACAGAUAUUUGAACUUGUAACAUCAUAACAGAUAGGAAGCAAAUAAAAGCAUUGACCUUUUUAGGUUUUCCACAAAAACUGAUGUUAGGGAAAUAAAAGUGCAAGAUCCCUGGGUUUCAUGACCUGAAUAGGCUCAUAUCCUAGCAAAUCAGCUGGUUGCAUGGGCAUUUUCAUGGUUUUCCCCACGUGUAUAUACAAAACAAUUCUCCUUAGAAAAGUCUGUCAUAAAGGCUUCACAUGCUUCACUUAGGCAAAUAGCCUUCACAUGCUUUGCUGUAAUCAAACAAACCAUCCAUAACCUUAAGUGCUUUCAAUCAAAAUGGAGUUUAGGCAAAAAAAUCCUUGUGUGUAUAAUCACAAUUUAUUAAUAAUCUAUUUUAUUAAUUCAUUAAGCCCUUUCAGUCAAAAUUAAGAUGGAGUUUAGGCA
Stegodyphus dumicola is the source of this 1250-nucleotide long non-coding RNA. RefSeq lists it as uncharacterized. The record is from RefSeq and is a predicted model, not a curated record. Lineage: Eukaryota; Metazoa; Arthropoda; Arachnida; Araneae; Eresidae.